RNAcentral lists this ribosomal RNA (521 nucleotides) under Enterococcus faecium. Its description in RNAcentral is "bacterial SSU rRNA". It matches the Rfam family "Bacterial small subunit ribosomal RNA", at positions 868 to 1391 of the family's 1533-position model. Lineage: Bacteria; Bacillati; Bacillota; Bacilli; Lactobacillales; Enterococcaceae. The record is from RNAcentral.
UCGGCCUGGGGAGUACGCCCCCAAGGUGGAUAUUCAAAGGAAUUGCCGGGGGCCCCCACAGGCGGUGGAGCAUGUGGUUAAAUUGGAAGCAACGCGAAGACCUUUACCAGUUCUUGCCUUCUUUUGCCCCUUUUAGAGAUAAAGCUUCCCCUUCGGGGGCAAAGUGCCAGGUGGUCCAUGGUGUUCUUAACUUCGUUUCGGGAGAGUUGGGGUUAAUUCCCGCAAGGAGCCCAACCCUUAUUGUUAGUUCCCACCAUUCAGUUGGGCAUUUUAGCAAGACUGCCGGUGACAACCCGGAGGAAGGUGGGGAUGAGGUCAAAUCAUCAUGCCCCUUAUGACUUGGGUUCCACACGUGUUCCAAUGGGAAGUACAACGAGUUGGGAAGUCGGGAGGUUAAGUUAAUUUCUUAAAGCUUUUUUCAGUUCGGAUGCCAGGUUGCAAUUCGCCUCCAGGAAGCCGGAUUCGUUAGUAAUCGCGGAUCACCACGCCGCGGGGAAUACGUUCCCGGCCCUGUCCCCACC